GCUGCUGAUCAUGGAGAGCCUGGCCAGUGCAAACACCAGCUUCGCUCUGGACCUCUUUAAGAAGCUCAGUAAUGACAGAAAAGCUGAGAACAUCUUCUACUCCCCCCUGAGCAUCUCCUCCGCUCUGGCCAUGGUGUAUCUGGGGGCUCGGGGGAACACAGCCUCUGAGAUGGCACAGUCCGUCUGCUUUAACAAAUCUAAGGAUGAUGUGCACUCUGGAUUCAGCACGCUGAUCUCUGACAUCAACAAACAGGGCGCUCCCUAUAAAUUGUGUUUGGCUAAUCGUCUGUAUGGAGAGAAAUCAUUUGACUUUGUCAAGGAAUUCAUUCAGGACACCAAGAAGUUCUACCAGGCUGAGCUGGAAGCUGUUGAUUUUGUAACUGCAUCAGAGGCAGCCAGACAGAACAUCAACUCCUGGGUGCAGAGCCAGACACAGGACAAAAUCCAGAACUUGUUGGCUGAAGGGACUGUUGAUGCUCUGACCAGACUUGUCCUGGUGAAUGCCAUCUAUUUCAAAGGAAACUGGGCGAAGAAGUUCAGCGAGAGUGAAACAAGAGAAAGGGCUUUCCGACUGAGCAAGAAUGUAACGAAGCCUGUGCAGAUGAUGCAACAGAAAGCCGAGUUUAACCUCACAUUCAUUCCUGAAGUGAACAGUCAGAUUAUAGAGCUCCCAUAUGUUGGCAAUGAGCUGAGCAUGCUCAUCAUCUUACCUAUGGGCAUUGAAGACAAUUCCACUGGACUGGAGAAGCUUGAAAGGGAGCUCACCUUUGAAAAUCUCAUGGAGUGGACUAAGCCAGAAAUGAUGGGCAACACUGAGGUGACCGUGACUCUGCCAAAAUUCAAGCUGGAGGAGACCUAUGAUCUCAAGUCAGUUCUGACCAGCUUGGGCAUGGUAGAUGCCUUUGAUGUUGGGAAGUCUGAUUUCUCUGGCAUGUCGUCCAAUAAUGAGCUGGUGCUGUCGAAGGUGGUUCACAAGUCCUUUGUGGAGGUGAAUGAGGAGGGCACAGAGGCAGCAGGUGCCACCGGGGCCAUCAUGAUGCUGGAAUGUGCGAGGAUCCCUGUACACUUCAAUGCUGACCACCCAUUCCUUUUCUUCAUUAGGCACAACAAAACCCGCAACAUCCUCUUCUAUGGCAAGUUCAGCUCUCCUUAAGUCUGCACUUCUGUAGAGUUGGUCAGCCUUGUAUACAAGUGCUCUGAUUUUUGCCUUCCACCCUUAUAUCUUAUCACACAAUAUAUAAAACCCAUAAUGAGGUGUUCUUUAUAAGGAAAGGGUAUUUAAAACGCUUCGCUGAGUUGCAUAGCUCCUUUUUGUUUAUUUCUUACAAAACUACUGCAGUGUUUAGGGAUGAUGGAGCAACAUUUUACUGGACUGCAUAUCUCUGUUUUAUAACCACAGUGUGUAAUCUUCACUAGUUCUGCUCACAGUUGUAAUAAACAAACAAGGCUUUGAACAUGCAUUACAUUCUUACACGUCCUUUCUUUCACUGUUGAUAUUUAUUUUUCCAGAUUUUAUUUUCACUUAUGUAUUAGAAGUCAGCAGUGGCCCUAUCUAUUACAAAAAAGUACUAUAAUAUUACAAUAAAAACACUAUAGUAAUGUACUAUAUUGAAAUGCCAAUGCUAUAGUACUGUACUACAGUAGUACUAUAGUUCUGCACUACAGCACUGUACUCUAAUACCUCGUUUCCAUAGUCAAGCCAACUUGCGUGCACUCAAGUGCUCCCGGGUUAGCCUGAAUUUUCCAAAACUCGAGUUAUUACGUGAGCUGGACAAGUCUCACUCAUGUUAUCGCGAGAGGUGGCCAGAUAGUAACCAGGUAACCAGAUUAUUGUAUCAUCGUUAUUGACAUUGUAACAUUGUUAUCAUCAAACACGGCAAUGGAUACUUUUCAAGAAAAUUCACUGCAGACUGUCUUGUGAUAUUGGAUGGUGUCCUAAAAUCGCAUCUCAAAUCUGUCUUAAUAGUGGAAUGUUUUGAGAUUGUUUCCGCGUUAGUUAUUGUGGUCCUUGAUUUUUCUGUAUUCCGAUUUUAAUUUUUUCCCUACAUUGGAGCGCAUUCCUACUCAGAUCAAAAGAAAGUAGAACUUUAAACACUUUUUGAUUUUGAAAAGAUCCUUGAAGCUGACUUUGAAUGACCCGAUCUCCCCAAACAAUAAUCAGUGAUCAUGUUUCAUCAUGAUUCCACAGUGCAUAAUGUGCGGUCAUGUUAAAUGUUUUUGGGUUGUUAAAUUACAGGUAAGCUAUUAUUUUGUUUUUUCUAACCGUAAUUUGCAACCGACACUGGCUUUCAUAGAGAUUGUUGCUAAGAUCUGGGAUUCCAUUAUUAGUGACGUAUUUUCUGCUCAGCCUGCAUAGUGAAAUGGUACCAAAGAACUCAGGUAUGUGCCCAAAUUGGAGGCUAACUCGAGUUUUACAAAAACAUGGAAACGCAGUAUUGGGGUGGGGGGGCAAUUAGGGUGUGUACUCGAGUUGGCUUGAAUAUGGAAAGGAGGUAAAAUACAGUAGUACAGCUAUAAUGUAAUACAGUACAAGAAGUCAAAUAUAGUAGCCCAAUGGUAAUACUAGUAGUAAGCUAUACUUAACAGUGCUACAUUUUCCUAAUCAUUUAUUAAGAAUAAAACCCCCAAAAAUGCUCCAAGAUGUUUUAUUUGUGUACAGAAUGUAUGUUACGUAGCAGUUUAGUUCAUCACUAAUGUGGCAUGUCUUCUGGCAAGAAGUUUUUCUUAUUAAGUUUAGUUGCAAUAGCUCAGUUAACUUUUUUUAUUUGCAUCCCAAAAAAAUACAACAAAAAUACAACUACAACAGCACAAUAUUCUCUGCAAUUAUUAUUAAUUUUUAAAUCGGUCUAUUUUUCUGCAUCUCUUUGUCAACGACCGAGGGAGAGUCACACCAGUCUCUAGUGUUAGAGGGAGACCACCUCUGCCGCCAGGGGGAUACUGCCCCCUGUUCCUGCCUCUGCCACCAGAGGGAGACUACCUGUUGCUUCCGCAUCCACCACCAGAGGAGCUGGACCUACCUCCCGAGGGUCGACUCCUGCCCUGUCCUGCACUGCCUGGGGCUGCCGAGGCUGGCUGCUGACCAUGCAUAGAGAAACCCUGUGCAGAAUGUGGUCAAGGGAUAAACUAGGUAAUUGAUAACCAGUUAAUCCCUUGACCACAAUAUAAAAACCAGCAGCUUCUGAUGAUCGAGGUUGGGUUUACAGAGAGGACCUGACUGAUACAAGCAGCUGUGUGGACUGAGCGCCAUCUUGAGACUCUGAUCGAUGGACAAGAAGAACACAUUGAAGCAUAUAAGUGAACUAUGGCACAAAACACAGACCAGGGAAAUGGGUUCCAAUCUACAGAUCCCCUCUUCUGAAAGAGAAUGCCUUUCUUUUGGGUAAAGCAAAGGAAAAGAUAAUGCCUCUGGCUUCUAGACUACUUAGGCCUUCUCUACAGGCUAUUUGUUUGACUCACUUUUAAGACAGGGUGUGGCGGAGUGUCCCGCCCCUAUAUUUAUAUGUGCACUGUGUUUUUAUGAUUUGUAUUAUUGUUUGUGGCGCAGAUAAAAGUGCUGCGUAUUUGUUAUUGUUUUUUAUAGUUUAAAAACCUCGUGAGGAUGCGUGAUUGAUCAGCUAGUGAUUUAUUUAGCUGGCUGACAGUCACGCAUCCUUAUUAAACUUGUGCAGACGGUGACCAUCUCCCAAGUUAAUUCAUUGAUUAAUUGUUGCUAAUCGGGAGAUGGUCACUGUAUAUAAAUUGCAGCUCUCUACCCUCAGGGGAGAGUGUAUAGGAGUCAGAGUGGAGAGAGUGAGGUGAGAGAAAACAAAACCUAAAAACAACUGCUAAACAUUAUUUGUUUAUUUGUUUGGCCAACAUGCCCUUUUGUUUUGUUGUCUGUUUAAACCUUUUUGUUUGUUUUGUUUAUUUAAUAAAUACGCUGAGCACCAUUGCGUUCAGCUUCACCAUCGCCA
Acipenser ruthenus (sterlet) is the source of this 3953-nucleotide RNA transcript. It is a transcript of the gene named serpin B6-like, with no coding region annotated. The record is from RefSeq and is a predicted model, not a curated record. The transcript has 7 exons. Lineage: Eukaryota; Metazoa; Chordata; Actinopteri; Acipenseriformes; Acipenseridae.